GUACACUGCCAGGGGAGUCGUCAUUAAGACUGAGAUGAUGUAUAACAUCAGACCCUUUGAACCUGAACUAUAUCAUUAUAGCGGAGGGAGGUGGUGCAGGAAUGAU
Molecule: non-coding RNA, 106 nt
Filed under: Pontibacillus yanchengensis
Lineage: Bacteria; Bacillati; Bacillota; Bacilli; Caryophanales; Bacillaceae
Also listed under: 1 other name
Description: TPP sequence
Rfam family: TPP riboswitch aptamer (THI element)
About the family: Vitamin B(1) in its active form thiamin pyrophosphate (TPP) is an essential coenzyme that is synthesised by coupling of pyrimidine and thiazole moieties in bacteria. The previously detected thiamin-regulatory element, thi box was extended, resulting in a new, highly conserved RNA secondary structure, the THI element, which is widely distributed in eubacteria and also occurs in some archaea.
Source: RNAcentral